AAAGGCCAAUCAAACUCCGUGAUAGCUGGUUCUCCCCGAAAUGCAUUUAGGUGCAGCGUCGUAUUAUAGCUUGGUGGAGGUAGAGCGACUGGUUGGUUGAGCGGGACUACAAUCUUAGCAAUGUCAGCCAAACUCCGAAUGCCAUCAAUUGUGUUGUGCGGCAGUGAGACUGUGGGGGAUAAGCUUCAUAGUCGAGAGGGAAACAGCCCAGAUCGCCGGUUAAGGCCCCUAAGGGUGUACUAAGUGGAAAAGGAUGUGGGAUCGCGAAGACAGCCAGGAGGUUGGCUUAGAAGCAGCCAUCCUUGAAAGAGUGCGUAAUAGCUCACUGGUCGAGUGGUUCUGCGCCGACAAUGUAGUGGGGCUCAAGUACACCGCCGAAGCCGCGGCAAGCAACAUUUUUUGUUGUUUGGGUAGGGGAGCGUCGUGCAUGGGUNGAAGCGUUACCGUNAGGAGGCGUGGACUGUGUGCGAGUGAGAAUGCAGGCAUGAGUAACGAAUUGNNAGGUGAGAAUCCUNNCCGCCGGAUGACUAAGGGUUCCUGGGUCAAGUUCGUCUUCCCAGGGUGAGUCGGGACCUAAGGCGAGGCCGACAGGCGUAGUCGAUGGAUAACCAGUUGAUAUUCUGGUACCCGUACAUGNGCGCCCAUGAUAAAGCACUGAUACUAACCACNGCGGAUNCNCUNCNAAGNANUCUUUGAGUGUUGGUGGUGUUGAUGUCGUGGGGCCUGAUGUGUGGUUCAAGUGAUGGGGUGACGCAGUGAGGUAGCCGCGCCACUUAGUGGAUUGGUGGUGUAAGCGUGUAGGCCGUGUGGUAGGUAAAUCCGCCACACAUUGUGGUUGAGNCGUGAUGCGUAGACCCANNNGGGUUGAUGGUGGUGAUCCUGUACUGUCGAGAAAAGCCUCUAGCGAUGUGUGUGUAUGGCCCGUACCCUAAACCGACACAGGUAGUCAGGUUGAAAAUACUAAGGCGUUCGGGUGAACUGUGGUUAAGGAAUUCGGCAAAAUGCCCCCGUAACUUCGGGAGAAGGGGGGCCCUGUGACGUGAAGACCCUUGCGGUUGGAGUGUUGUGGGGUCGCAGAGAAUAGAGGGAAGCGACUGUUUAUCAAAAACACAGGUCCAUGCGAAGACGUNAAGUUGAUGUAUAUGGACUGACGCCUGCCCGGUGCUGGAAGGUUAAGAGGACCGGUUAGUUAGUCUUUGACUGCGAAGCUGAGAAUUUAAGCCCCAGUAAACGGCGGUGGUAACUAUAACCAUCCUAAGGUAGCGAAAUUCCUUGUCGGGUAAGUUCCGACCUGCACGAAUGGCGUAACGACUUCUCUGCUGUCUCGACCACAGGCCCGGUGAAAUUGCAUUACGAGUAAAGAUGCUCGUUACGCGCGGCAGGACGAAAAGACCCCGGGACCUUCACUAUAGCUUGGUAUUGGUGUUUGGUUCGGUUUGUGUAGGAUAGGUGGGAGACUUGGAAGCUAUCACGCUAGUGGUGGUGGAGUCGUUGUUGAAAUACCACUCUGAUCGGAUUGAGCAUCUAACCUUGGCCCAUGAUCUGGGUUGGGGACAGUGCCUGGUGGGUAGUUUAACUGGGGCGGUUGCCUCCUAAAAUGUAACGGAGGCGCCCAAAGGUUCCCUCAGCCUGGUUGGCAAUCAGGUGUNGAGUGCAAGUGCACAAGGGAGCUUGACUGUGAGAGUGGCAGCUCGAGCAGGGACGAAAGUCGGGACUAGUGAUCNGNCGGCUNGCUUGUGGANNNGCCGUCNCUCAACGGAUAAAAGGUACCNCGGGGAUAACAGGCUGAUCUUGCCCNAGCGCUCAUAGCGACGGCAUGGUUUGGCACCUCGAUGUCGGCUCGUCGCAUCCUGGGGCUGUAGUCGGUCCCAAGGGUUGGGCUGUUCGCCCAUUAAAGCGGUACGCGAGCUGGGUUCAGAACGUCGUGAGACAGUUCGGUCCCUAUCCUCUGCGCGCGUUGGAAAUUUGAGAAGGUCUGUCCUUAGUACGAGAGGACCGGGACGGACGAACCUCUGGUAUGUCAGUUGUACCGCCAGGUGCAUGGCUGAUUAGCUACGUUCGGGAUGGAUAACCGCUGAAAGCAUCUAAGCGGGAAGCCGGCCCAAAGAUGAGUCAUCCCUGAACUUUAAGUUCUGGAAGGGUUGUUAUAGACGAUGACGUUGAUAGGCAGGGUGUGGAAGCGUUGUAAGGCGUUAAGCUAACCUGUACUAAUUGCCCGAGAGGCUUAACCAU
RNAcentral lists this ribosomal RNA (2232 nucleotides) under metagenome. RNAcentral describes it as "bacterial LSU rRNA". It matches the Rfam family "Bacterial large subunit ribosomal RNA", at positions 824 to 2925 of the family's 2925-position model. The record is from RNAcentral.